GGUCACUACAACAACGAGUUGAUAUGUGGAUAUAAGCUUUGUAACAUGCAUAGUACCCACUAAAAAACUUCUUAAGCAACUAAUAUUAUAACAUUAUUCAAGCACUUUUCGAAUUUAUCAAACAAUUUCACAAGACACAUUAAAGCACUGAUAAUGUUUUAACUCUAUCAUGCAUACAGUUACAUUCGAUUUACUAGAAAAACUUCUUCACAAUUGGACGAGCAAUGCAGAUAGCCUCCAAAGGCGUUGCUUUAGGCAUCGUGAUUCCUUUUCCUUCUGUCAUGUCAAUCUCUUCCAUACCUAACCUCUCCCAUUCGAAGCAUUGAAUUAACGUGCUGAGUGUAAGACCCACAACUCGUUGAGCCAGGCCUGCACCUGGACAAGCCCUUCUUCCAAGUCCAAAAGGCAUCAGCUUGAAACUUUCCUUGGCUUUGUUUUCAUACCUCUCAGGUUUAAAACUCAAAGGAUCUUCCCAAAGAUGAGGGUCCCUGUGAAUAGCCCAUGCAUUGACCAAUAACAUGGUGCCGCGAGGGACGUGAUAUCCUCCGAUCUCACAAUCAUCAGAAGACAUGUGUGGGACCAGGAGUGGCGCAGCAGGAUACAGUCGCAGCGUUUCAGAGAUAAUGUUCUGCAGGUAAGGAAGGCUGGAAAUGUCUUGCUCAUCGACUAGGCGUUCUUGCCCGACUUGCUCGUCCAGUUCAAUUCUCGCCUUUGCUAAUAUGUUGGGGUUGUUGAGAAGGUUUGACAUUGCCCACUCUAAUGUUACUGCUGAUGUGUCGGUUCCUGCCAAUAACAUGACCUGACAACGUAACAUAUAUAUUUAAUUAAUUUACAGAUAAUUAGUAAAACUGAAUAUAUAUAUAUAUAUAUCAGUGGUCACUUCACUUGACAAAUAAACUCUUAAAAAUAAAUAAUUAUAUUGGAUAUGAUAAAUGGAAAGAAUAAUCAACCAAGAAAAGAUGGAAGAAGCUUACGAGAAUAAGGCCUUUGAUAAUGUGGUCAGUGUAAUAUUCAGGUUGAGAUUCCUGCAAAGCAAGCAAGUGGUCGAUCAUAGUAUUCAUACUCUCCAAAUCCUGCUUCUUACUCCGAUGCUCCUCAAUCAAUCCUUGCAAGAACCUGUCCGUUCUCUCAGCCAGCCACGUCACUCUCUUCUCCAAUUUCCCAC
Molecule: long non-coding RNA, 1165 nt
Filed under: Linum usitatissimum (flax)
Lineage: Eukaryota; Viridiplantae; Streptophyta; Magnoliopsida; Malpighiales; Linaceae
Description: long non-coding RNA (LUSI_LNC006250)
Source: RNAcentral